CCUCUUCUUACUGCCGUAUUUAUGUUAAUGCAUUUUCUAAUGAUACGUAAGCAAGGUAUUUCGGGUCCUUUAUAG
RNAcentral lists this transfer RNA (75 nucleotides) under Lacistema nena. Lineage: Eukaryota; Viridiplantae; Streptophyta; Magnoliopsida; Malpighiales; Lacistemataceae. The record is from RNAcentral.